This 274-nucleotide ribosomal RNA is filed under the name uncultured bacterium. Its description in RNAcentral is "partial 16S ribosomal RNA". It matches the Rfam family "Bacterial small subunit ribosomal RNA", at positions 523 to 796 of the family's 1533-position model. The record is from RNAcentral.
AUACGGAGGGGGUUAGCGUUGUUCGGAAUUACUGGGCGUAAAGCGCACGUAGGCGGACUGGAAAGUUGGGGGUGAAAUCCCGGGGCUCAACCCCGGAACUGCCUCCAAAACUUCCAAUCUAGAGAUCGAGAGAGGUGAGUGGAAUUCCAAGUGUAGAGGUGAAAUUCGUAGAUAUUUGGAGGAACACCGGUGGCGAAGGCGGCUCACUGGCUCGAUACUGACGCUGAGGUGCGAAAGCGUGGGGAGCAAACAGGAUUAGAAACCCCAGUAGUCC